AGUGAGAAUGCCGGAAUGAGUAGCGAGAAUUAUGUGAGAAUCAUAAUGGCCGAAAAUCUAAGGUUUCCUGAGGAAGGUUCGUCCGCUCAGGGUAAGCCGGGGGCUAAGGCGAGGCGGAGACGCGUAGCCGAUGCACAUACGGUUGAAAUUCCGUAGCCACCGAAAGAUUUAAGUACAGGGACGCUUUAGAAGUGAUGUUGCCGGGCGAUGGUUGACCCGGUCGUAAGGGAUCGAAAAUGAGUAGAGAAGUCAUCAUGGAAAGAGACAAGAAAAGCUGUAUGUAUAUUUUAGGUGCCCGUACCGCAAACCGACACAGGUAGAUGGGAAGAAGAUUCUAAGGCCAACGGGAGAAGGGUUGUUAAGGAACUCGGCAAGUUGACCCCGUAACUUAGGGAUAAGGGGUGCUCAAGUGAUUGAGCCGCAGAGAAUAGGCCCAGGCGACUGUUUAGCAAAAACACAGGUCUCUGCUAAAUCGAAAGAUGACGUAUAGGGGCUGACACCUGCCCGGUGCCGGAAGGUUAAGAGGAGAUGUGAGAGCAUUGAAUUGAAGCCCCGGUAAACGGCGGCCGUAACUAUAACGGUCCUAAGGUAGCGAAAUUCCUUGUCAGGUAAGUUCUGACCCGCACGAAAGGUGUAACGAUCUGGGCACUGUCUCAACAACUCGCCCGGCGAAAUUGUAGUACCGGUGAAGAUGCCGGUUACCCGCGACUAGACGGAAAGACCCCAUGGAGCUUUACUGUAGCCUAAUAUUGGAUUUCGGUAUUUCACGUACAGGAUAGGUGGGAGACUGGGAAGCACAGGCGUCAGCUUGUGUGGAGUCGACCUUGGGAUACCACUCUUGGAGUGCUGGAAUUCUAACCUGCGGCUUUGAAGCAAGUCGGGGGACAUUGUUAGGUGGGCAGUUUGACUGGGGCGGUCGCCUCCUAAAGAGUAACGGAGGCGCUCAAAGGUUCGCUCUGCAUGGAUGGAAACCAUGCGUCAGAGUGUAAACGCAAAAGCGAGCCUAACUGCGAGAAUGACGGUUCGAGCAGUAACGAAAGUUGGAGUUAGUGAUCCGGCGGUAUGUGAAUGGAAAUGCCGUCGCUCAACGGAUAAAAGCUACCCUGGGGAUAACAGGCUGAUCUCCCCCAAGAGUCCACAUCGACGGGGAGGUUUGGCACCUCGAUGUCGGCUCAUCGCAUCCUGGGGCUGAAUUCGGUCCCAAGGGUUUGGCUGUUCGCCAAUUAAAGCGGUACGCGAGCUGGGUUCAGAACGUCGUGAGACAGUUCGGUCCCUAUCUGUCGUGGGCGUAGGAUAUUUGCAAGGAGCUGUCCCUAGUACGAGAGGACCGGGAUGGACGCACCUCUGGUGCACCAGUUGUCACGCCAGUGGCACAGCUGGGCAGCUAUGUGCGGAACGGAUAAACGCUGAAGGCAUCUAAGCGUGAAGCCGCCCUUAAGAUAAGAUAUCCCUUCUGUUUACAGAGUAAGACCCCUUGAAGACUACAAGGUUGAUAGGCUCAAAGUGUAAGCACGGUGACGUGUUUAGCUAGCGAGUACUAAUCGGUCGAGGGCUUAACCU
RNAcentral lists this ribosomal RNA (1560 nucleotides) under human gut metagenome. RNAcentral's name for it is "bacterial LSU rRNA". It matches the Rfam family "Bacterial large subunit ribosomal RNA", at positions 1287 to 2925 of the family's 2925-position model. The record is from RNAcentral.